RNAcentral lists this ribosomal RNA (440 nucleotides) under uncultured bacterium. Its description in RNAcentral is "partial 16S ribosomal RNA". It matches the Rfam family "Bacterial small subunit ribosomal RNA", at positions 338 to 795 of the family's 1533-position model. The record is from RNAcentral.
CCUACGGGUGGCUGCAGUGGGGAAUAUUGCACAAUGGGGGAAACCCUGAUGCAGCGACGCCGCGUGGGUGAAGAAGCGCCUCGGUGCGUAAAGCCCUGUCAGCAGGGAAGAAAAUGACGGUACCUGAACAAGAGUCCCUGGCUAACUACGUGCCAGCAGCCGCGGUAAUACGUAGGGUGCAAGCGUUAUGCGGAUUUACUGGGUGUAAAGGGGGCGCAGACGGCGAUGCAAGCCAGGAGUGAAAGCCCGGGGCCCACCCCCGGGACUGCUCUUGGAACUGGGUGGCUAGAGUGCAGGAGGGGCAGGCGGAAUUCCUGGUGUAGCGGUGAAAUGCGUAGAUAUCAGGAGGAACACCGGUGGCGAAGGCGGCCUGCUGGACUGCAACUGACGUUGAGGCCCGAAAGCGUGGGGAGCAAACAGGAUUAGAUACCCCAGUAGUC